CGGCCUCCCAAAGUGCUGAGAUUACAGGUGUGAGCCUUCACACCCAGCCAUGCUUAUCAUUACUCUUAAUAGAGCUUAUGAGACUAUAACUAAAAUAAUCAUAGUUUCCAACUGAAAAAUUUUUGAACUUCAUGAUCUGUGGAAUAAAGGACUUAUGAGAUAAAAUAUGAAAUCUGGACCUUUCCAGAUAAUUUAGGACAUAUCAUUGCCCCAACCAAAACACAUAGGCAAACUCAUGGGCAUGUAUUAAUAAUUACCUUUAUGCUCUUGAAAUUGUAAUUGUGACCUCCCUUAAUUUAGAGGCUCAUUAAGGAAGGAUUAAGUUUAUGUUGCUAUCUCUUGAGUAAAGUUUCAAAAGUAAGGUUUAAAUCAGGGAAUGGGUCAGAAUAGCUAUAUUCUCUUUUUCAGUUCUGGGUGGUUUCUCUUUUUUUUUUUUUUUCUUUUUUUGAGACGGAGUCUCGCUGUCGCCCAGGCUGGAGUGCAGUGGCGUGAUCUCAGCUCAGCUCAUUGCAACCUCCACCUCUGGGUUCAAGCGAUUCUCAUGCCUCAGCCUCCCAAAUAGCUGGGAUUACAGGCACGUGCCACCACACCCAGCUAAUUUUUUUGUAUUUUUAGUAGAGAUGGGGUUUCACUGUGUUAGCCAGGAUAGUCUCGAUCUCCUGACCUCGUGAUCUGCCUGCCUCGGCCUCCCAAAGUGCUGGGAUUACAGGCAUGAACAACUGCGCCUGGCUUCUGGUGGUUUUUAUAGCAAUCUGUAGCAAGAUAGAUACAGAGCUAUGGGAGUGGAAAAAUUCCUCUUACUUUUUUCCUUUUGCUUUUUAUUUUUAUUUAUUUUUUAUUUUAUUUUUUUGAGACAGAGCUUCACUCUUGUUGCCCAGGCUGGAGUGCAACGGCACGAUAUCAACUCACUGCAACCUCCGCCUCCUGGGUUCAAGUGAUUCUCCUGCCUCAGCUUCCCGAGUAGCUGGGAUUACAGGUGUGCGCCACCACGCCUGGCUAAUUUUUUGUAUUUUCAGUAGCGAUGGGUUUCGCCAUGUUGGUCAGGCUGGUCUCAAAUUCCUGACCAUAUGUGAUCCACCCGCCUCUGCCUUCCAAAGUACUGGGAAUACAGGUGUGAGCCACCGCACCCAGCCUUCUUUUUUGUUGUUGUUUUUUUGAGAGGGAGUCUCACUCUCACCCAGGCUGGAGUGCAAUGGCGUGGUCUCAGCUCGCUGUAACCUCCACCUCCCGGGUUCAAGUGAUUCUCCCGCCUCAGCCUCCCAAGUCGCUGGGACUACAAGCACAUGCCACCACACCCGGCUAAUUUUUGUAUUUUA
This 1316-nucleotide long non-coding RNA is filed under the name Homo sapiens (human). Its description in RNAcentral is "HSALNT0012897". Lineage: Eukaryota; Metazoa; Chordata; Mammalia; Primates; Hominidae. The record is from RNAcentral.